Molecule: ribosomal RNA, 446 nt
Filed under: uncultured bacterium
Lineage: Bacteria
Description: partial 16S ribosomal RNA
Rfam family: Bacterial small subunit ribosomal RNA
Source: RNAcentral
GUGAGGAAUAUUGGUCAAUGGGCGCAAGCCUGAACCAGCCAUCCCGCGUGCAGGAAGACGGCGCUAUGCGUUGUAAACUGCUUUUCCAGGGAGAGAAACUUGCGCACGUGUUGCGCAAUUGACGGUACCCUGGGAAUAAGCAUCGGCUAACUCCGUGCCAGCAGCCGCGGUAAUACGGAGGAUGCGAGCGUUAUCCGGAUUCAUUGGGUUUAAAGGGUGCGUAGGCGGACUAUUAAUUAAGGGGUGAAAUCCUGCAGCUUAACUGCAGAACUGCCAGUGAUACUGAUAGCCUUGAGUUUGGUUAAGGUAGGCAGAAUGUGUAAUGUAGCGGUGAAAUGCUUAGAUAUUACACAGAACACCAAUUGCGUAGGCAGCUUACUGAGCCGACACUGACGCUGAGGCACGAAAGCGUGGGGAUCGAACAGGAUUAGAUACCCUUGUAGUCC